GACGAACGCUGGCGGCGUGCUUAACACAUGCAAGUCGAACGGAAAGGCCCUGCUUUUGUGGGGUGCUCGAGUGGCGAACGGGUGAGUAACACGUGAGUAACCUGCCCUUGACUUUGGGAUAACUUCAGGAAACUGGGGCUAAUACCGGAUAGGAGCUCCUGCUGCCUGGUGGGGGUUGGAAAGUUUCGGCGGUUGGGGAUGGACUCGCGGCUUAUCAGCUUGUUGGUGGGGUAGUGGCUUACCAAGGCUUUGACGGGUAGCCGGCCUGAGAGGGUGACCGGCCACAUUGGGACUGAGAUACGGCCCAGACUCCUACGGGAGGCAGCAGUGGGGAAUAUUGCACAAUGGGCGGAAGCCUGAGGCAGCAACGCCGCGUUCGGGAUGACGGCCUUCGGGUUGUAAACCGCGUUCGCCUGUGACGAAGCGUGAGUGACGGUAAUGGGUAAAGAAGCACCGGCUAACUACGUG
This 468-nucleotide ribosomal RNA is filed under the name uncultured bacterium. RNAcentral describes it as "partial 16S ribosomal RNA". It matches the Rfam family "Bacterial small subunit ribosomal RNA", at positions 28 to 507 of the family's 1533-position model. The record is from RNAcentral.